Molecule: long non-coding RNA, 5245 nt
Filed under: Sus scrofa (pig)
Lineage: Eukaryota; Metazoa; Chordata; Mammalia; Artiodactyla; Suidae
Description: lncRNA (ENSSSCG00000058659.1, ENSSSCG00090012258.1)
Source: RNAcentral
AAGCUUUACAAAGAAUAAGUAUUUUAUAGAAGUACUAUAAUCAUAUUAUCCAAUAUCUUCUUAUUAAUCUGAUAAAUCUUAUAUUUUAGCAGAGAUCAUCAUGAUCCAUUUUAGGGAUAACUAACAAUUAUGAAAAACUGUACAAAUUAUUUUCUGUAUGUGUCUUAAAGCUGCAAAUAUUUUUGCAUUCCCUUACAAUUUAUAUACUGUUGUCAUCUAUCCUCAGGCUAGUUUAGAUCAUGAGUAAAAUAUAAACUAAAUCUAACGACAUAUGCACAAAGAUAUGAGGGUUGAUUCUAGUUGUAGCGACUAUAAUCUUACAUCAGACAGUGCCUGGGUCCUUAGCUUUAUUUAUUAUCAAUUUUAUUGAAAGGCAACCUUCAGGAAAGUAAUUCACAUUGAGGUUAAAAUUUGCUGGCCUUAAUGUCUUGGGAAUUCUGAGCAUUGUUAAAUUACUAUUUUAUUUUAAAUAAUCAGUGUCAUUUAAUCUAUUUGUUUAGAAUUUUCCAAAUGGAGUUAAUUUUUCUGGGGAAUCUUUGGAAUUCCCACUAUGGUACGGUGGAUUAAGAAUCCAACUGCAGCAGCUUGGGUUGCUGUGGAGGCAUGGUUUCGAUCCCUGGUCCAGUGCAGUGGGUUAAAGGAUUUUGUGCUGCUUCGGCUACAGCUUGGAUUCAGUUCCUAGCUUGGAAACUUCCAUAUGCCAUGGGUACAGCCAUAAAACAAACAAACAAACAAAAAAGACAAAUAUUAUGGGGAAACUUAUGUUCAUACUUUUUAAAAAAACAGUGGAUUUUCUUGCAUCCAUCUUUAUUUACUGGACUGGUAUUUUACCAUAUCAUUGGGUAAGAAAGAAAAAAAUCCCUUAAGUCAUUAAAACAUGUAUAAGAAAUAUUAAUUCAUAUGUACUUAUGAAGAAUUAAACUGCCAUUUUUUAAAAAGUUUUUGGUUUUUUGCAUUUCUGACAAAAGGAAGGAAAAUACUAUUCACUCUAGGGAUAGCUAAAUUUUAUAUAUAUUCAGAUAUGCUGUAGGCUGUAUCAUAUUCUGUAAAUGAAGAAUACUGUGUAGGAAGUGUGUGAUUUAGCAGGCAAAAAUUCAUUCUUUGCAUCAGCUAAUUUAAGUGGUGUGCGUGUAUGUACAUGUGUGUGUGUUUGUAUGUAUCCAUUUAUCAUACAUCCAUUGCAUGGCUCUUUCAUGCUAAACACAGUAUCUUCUGUUGAGGGGCUUAUUGUUUAGUAAAGGCAGCAGAAAAAUAAACAGGCAAUUUUAUAGGAAUGAGAUUAAAGCUAUAAUGAGGAGAGAUGAAGGGAAAAAAUUAAUAGGUUAAAGGAAUGAAGAUUUGACUGGAGCAAUAUCAGCUGCAUGAAACACUCAAGAAUAAGUAGCCAGGUGAAGGAUGCUAGAGAGAGGGGUUUGAGAAGCGACAGCUUUUAGAAAACCUUUACAAAUAACAUUUUUAAUAAAGACAAACUAAUAGCAGCUUUGUUUAAAGUUAAAAACAUAUUUUGAUGAUACCAGUAAGCUAUUAAUUAUCUCCAGAUUAAUUUAAAUUUAUUGAUGACUUAAAGACAUUUUCCUUUUUUGAUCUCUAUCAUUAAAAUGCCUGAGUAUUUAAGUUCCUUGCCUUGUUUAGCAAUGCAUUUUCAAGGUGUGCAUUGCAUUUUGCUGCUCUGGCAUCAGCACAAUAGCAAGACUGAAUCAAUCUGAAAGUCGUAAUGUUUUUGUUUCUUUCAUCUUGCGGGGUCAAAUAAUAACUAUAUCUAGGAUUCAUUAUAGUUAUAGUUUCAUUAAUGUCAUUUUCAUAUCUAUUAUUCAUUAGAUUUGAAUUAGAUUUGUCAUUGCAGUUGGGUGUUUUAUAUUUUAUCUUCUGUUGCAAGCACUUAAUUUUUUGACUGUUUUUGUUUGUUUCAGACACUUCAAGUCUGCACAUAACUAGAGAUAAUUUAUGAUUUACCAUUCAAACCAGUACACUUUGGAGAAGAAAAAAGGCAGUAUUAAUAACUCAUCUAUGGUUACAGGUGUUCUGUUAGACUGUCUGAGGGUAAAGCUACAUCAUGGUAUUUCCCAACUUUAAGUAAUAGUCUAUAUGAAAUAUUCAAUCCUCACUUUAUAUAUAUGGACUUUAAAUAAACUUUAAAAGAACGUAUGCUUAAAAAAAUAAAAUAAAAGAAUGUAUGCUUAUGCUAUUACAUAAUUAAAUGAUUUCCAACUCUUAUUAAUCAAAGUAGAUUUUGUUUUUAAAUCUAUAAAAAGUGCCCUUAAAACAGAAAGAGAUUUGAAUAAACAUAAUUACUAUAGUUUAUUAAUAUGAAAGUGGUAAAACUAAAUCUUUUGGGGUUUAUUUGGCUUUAAGAGAAUAUGUUUUAUACAUAAAUUAGUAUUUGAAUCUUAGAUUCACAACUGCUUAGCAGUGUGCUCUGGAGAAAAUGCUUAAAGUAUAUGAUGCCAAAUUCUUCAUUUGUAGAAGGACGACAGCAAAGCCUGCCUUGUUGUUAUUAAAUGAAAGAUCAAGAAAUAUAAAACAAUGUACAUGGUGCCUUCCUCAUUAUGGAUGUGCAAUAUAUAUUACUUUAUUUCCUUCCAAUCAUAAAUGUUAAACUGACAGAGGUUUUGGUUUUUUGCUUUUUAGGGCCUCGCCCACGGCAUAUGGAGGUUCCCAGGCUAAGGGUCAAAACGGAGCUAUAGCUGCUGGCCUACGCCACAGCCAUGGCAACACAGGAUCCAAACUGUGUCUGCAACCUACACCACAGCCCACGACAACACCGUAUCAUUAACCCACUGAGCGAGGCCAGGGAUUGAACCUGCAACCGCAUGGUUCCUAGUCGGAUUUGUCUCUGCUGCGCCAUGAUGGGAACUCUGUGACAGAGAUUUUAAGACCAAAAUAUUGAUAAAUUACAUGAGAUAAUUUUGCUUUAUGUUUUUAUGUUAUUUUCAUGUAGAUUUUUAUAGACUUGUAAACAAUAACAUUAUUAUUUGAAAGAUAUACAAAGUGGUUCUUCACUUGUUCUGUUUCACCUUUAUUCUUAUUUUCAUUUAUCAAUUUGUUGGACAACUUUUGCAAAGGUAUUUUUACCCUUUAAUUGCCAGAUGAAUUUCUCCCAUAAUUAAAUAUUACUUGCUUGAAAGUGCAUUGAUUCAUUUGUAGAAACACAAUAAUAAAAUCCCCCUUCUAACUGAAGAAUAUAUGAGAUUAAAAAUCAGGGUUUGCUUUUAAAAAGGAAUCAGAUUUCUUUCAGGAAACAUAUGGUGGAAAAAUCAUAUGAACCCCAAAACCAAUGUAAAUAUUUUAUUUUUCAGUGAUAGUGAUGCUCCAUUUCCAAAAAUAGUUUCUUAAAAAAAUAACCUGCAUUAUACACCUAGUCAGGCUUUGGAGAUGGUCACUAACAACCUUAUUAAUUAUAACUAUAUUCAGUACUUUAUGAAAAGUGAAAAAAAAACUUUUUUAUAAUUCUCUUCCCAAUGUAAAGAGAUAAUGACUUGCCUAUUAUCAAGUUAUUUUAUAUGCCUUUCUGAAAUGAACUUCUUAUUUUCCAAAAUUUAAGUUUUGUACAGCAUGUCUUGGAUGAACAUGCAAAGUCAUAAAAUUUGGCUACUCCAGGAAAGAAUGAUAAUUUAUACAUCAUAGUUUUUAGAUGCAAUUGACAUUAAAAGGAAAUGAUUUAUCAUCAACAUUAUGAUAAUCAGUAUAUGUUUAAAUUAAACCUACUGUUCUUCAGCAUGAAAAUGAAAGCCAGUGUAGUUAAAUUCUGACAUUGGGUAUAUAUUGCUUUUCUUUAUAGUUGUUUUUUUUUUAAAGGUAGGUUUCUGAAGUUUCUAAACCUAAAUGAAAUCUUUUUAAUCUCUUUAUUCUUGGAAGCUAUAGCUAUUUUAUAAUCUUGCAUAACAGUCAUCUAAUCACCCUAUCUUGUUUCUCCCCUUGUUGAGCAGUUCUAAUGUCUUAUUUAUUUGGUGAUGCUGUACAUAGCUGGAUCAUUCACUAAGAAAUUAUGUGCUAUGUUCUCUAAUCUAAAUUAGUUUUCAUAUUCUUGAGCCCAAUAAUAUAACUGAAAUUGUGUUUCCUUUUCUACAGGAACAUCUGUUUGCAGAGCCAGAGAUAGAAUUCCUGAGAAAUAAGAUGGCAGUUCUCCAAUUACUGCUUGUUUUUGAUUGGGGAAAGCUGACAUGAUUUAAGGUAUAUGAUGGACUAAGGAUGUGGAGAUAGUGAGAGACUGAUGACAAUAUUUAUUUGUGAGAAGAAUUAAUCUUCAGAGGAAGAAGCUGAGAGAAUCCACUAUAUGACAUCAGGGUGGAUAGGAUAUCGUAGAUCACAUGAGUACAAAGUUCACAUAAAAGGAAAUAAGCAGAGUUUUAUGAAAGUUUGGGAGAAAUAUUCUAUUCUAGGUUUGGGUGAGGUCAAGAAAGAGUUAAUUCAAACAGUUUUUAAAAUUGGAUAGGAGUCAGUGGGUAAAGAUUAAGAGGCAGAAUAUUCUAGGUAGUGGGAAUAAGGUGAGCAAAAGAGUAAAGGUAAAGAGUGUGGGGCCUGGUUGGCACAAUGGCAAAAUCUUCAGUGUGAGGGAUGGCAGGAUAACACAAGAAUGAGAUUCAUCUUGAACACUUAAUAAUUUUAUUUUUGAACUUGUGUUUGAUUGAAGUCUGAUGGGACAAUGGAGCACAUUCCUUGCCAUUCUAUCCACAAUAGCCUUAGCACUGCCUCACGAGCACAGACUUCCAGUGAACCCACAGUGUGUGAGAGUUCAAGCAAUCUCAAAGCAAGCUUAAGGUAAGAAAGUUAACAAUACCUGACUGAGUAAAUGGGGCACUGAAGGCCCCUAGAGAACACACUUUUCAUCUGAACCAGAAAUUUCUUUGAAUACAGAAAGAAGUCAGUGGCAUUUUAUGAAACAACUAAGAAACGUUGGGGUAUUAUUUUUAUCUGUGGAAUGUCUAGUACCUAACUUAAGUUGAAAGUGAAGUAAAGAAAAAAGGUAUAGAUAGAAUAUGCAUGGAUCAAGAAGUGAAAUGUAAACAUCUCAGGUAAUUUUGCACAGUGUUUCUACUCUUCUGAUAAGAACAAAGUAUAUAUACAAGUACUAGCUAUAAGAUACAAAUCGUGUAAAUUCAGUGAUUCUACAUAUGAGAUAAAUGCUCAUAUAGUUGCAUUUAAAACACAUGACAUUUCACUCUGUAAAGAUGUUCAGCAAAUUUAGAACACUAAGUAGAAAACACAUACACAUACACACACGAUGACAAGUCAAGAAUGAGAUAGU